This 246-nucleotide unclassified non-coding RNA is filed under the name uncultured Agaricales. RNAcentral's name for it is "sequence contains ITS1". Lineage: Eukaryota; Fungi; Basidiomycota; Agaricomycetes; Agaricales. The record is from RNAcentral.
AUGAAUAAACUUGGUUUAGACUGUUGCUGGCCUUUCUUUGAGGGCAUGUGCACGCCUAUUCCGAAUUUACAACCACCUGUGCACCUUGUGUGGAUCUGAAUAAACUCUCGAGAUUUAAACUCGGUUUGAAGGAUUGCCGUGCGUGAUGCCAGCUUUCCUUUAUUCUUUCAGAUCUAUGUUUUAUUAUACCCCAUAUUCAAGUAUUUGAAUGCGAUAAUAAAGGCAUUUUGCCUGUAAACAUAUAUA